UCUGCGGGUGUUGUCAUGGGUUCACUUACUGCCAAUGGCUCAGUGCUGGCGCGGAGGUGAGGCGGGAAGGGUGGUGCGCCUGUGUAUCUGUCUGCGAUCACCGCCACCUCAUUUGAGAACCCCGUCCACACCUCAGUUACUAGGAAGCAGGAAUUGAAGUAGAGCUGCCGUAAAUCUGCAGACAUGCUGGAAGAACGACGACUCGCUCCUUAGUCCUUGAAUGUUCAGUGUUGCUUGGAGGUGCUGCACGUUACCAGGGGAAGGAAGUCUUACCUUACAAACUUGAGAUUUUACAGAUACCACCACUGCGCAUGGCGGUUGAAGGUGAGGCCUGACAGGGCGAAUACACACACCAGAUCCUUUGGACAAAAUGCAGUGCGAUCUUCACAGGAACAUUUGCUUGUCGAGGGUUGCGUCUACAGAAGGCUUACUUAGUCAAGUGUGUAAAGCUCCAUGUGGAUCGACGCUCACUUGAGGCUUGAGCGGCACAAGGUGGUGGUGGAGGUUCAAGGAGUUUCCCUGUGAAAUAAAUAUUUGUCAACA
Molecule: long non-coding RNA, 543 nt
Organism: Scylla paramamosain (green mud crab)
Lineage: Eukaryota; Metazoa; Arthropoda; Malacostraca; Decapoda; Portunidae
Exons: 4
Source: RefSeq, a predicted model, not a curated record